CCUCCCUGGUGUCACUGAGCGAUGGAUUGCGAUCGAUGGAGGGCUUCACUCUCUUCAAGCUGCUCCUGGGCUUUAGUUUUUCUUCAUCUUUGCUUGUAGGUUGCGUGAAGCUAGCUAGCUGUUGCAGAGCACCAUGUAUCUCUUAGCUGUUUUUUUCUUUUUCUGCUCCUGUAAGUGGGUUGUUGCUGUAAUCCUGGCCGGUUGAUGGCUUUGUUAAUUCAAAGCCGGGCUCGUCGUGAGCCUUCGUUCUAAAAAAAAACAUCAGUUGACUUCACCUUGCACUGUUCAGAGGAUAACCGUAAUGAUCUGUUGCUAAUUAUCAAUAGAGACUUGCUUUGUUUGCCCGUGGGUCUCUGUUUGUAUGAGGCCGUGGGUCUAUAUUUUGUACUGAAUCAUAACUGAAGAAUGGUGAAACCUGCUUACUGUAUAAGAUUGUGCUCUGAAGAAUGAUGACGCCGACGAAGAGCAUAAACAGGCCCCGUCCAAUAACCAUGCCACUGUAUAACUGCAUGCUCAUCAGUCAAGUGCCAUUAGGGGUUCAGACUUGUGAAGAAAAUCAGCAGCUACAAGUCCACUUCAGCACUAAACGAAGAAGUGGGAACUUCCUGCAUCCUACAGGUGACUGACUUUCCUACAUCCAUGGUCUUCUGCUUACAUAUUCCUUUCAGCUAAUAUUUCCCCUGUUUUUGUACAAAAGAAGAAAACAACACUCUGUUCUUCAAACAUAAACCCGAAAUUAUUAGGGCAUACAAUCUGAACUGUAAGUUGAUGUUACCUGCCAUCUACAAACAGAAGUACUAGUUCUUUUUCAUAUGGUCAGUUUGGUCUCGUAGACUCUCACCAUUACCAAUUGGGCUACCUCCUCAUGUCUUUUAUAAUUUGAAGCACCCCUUUUGUUGACACACUUUACAGGAAGUUAGGAUUUCGCAACCUGGGACAAGCUGGAGCAUAGCAUGAUUAAGCUCAUGAUGCAAUUAAUGCUACUUAUAGCGGCGCACUAGCUAAUUUUCUGCUGAAGGAAGGAAUCUUGAUAUUUAGGAGGAGCUGGAGUAACAACUCUAAGAGAUGAGAUUUGAGCAGGGUGCAUGCCUCUGCAGCUGUAGCGAACAAAACAUCCAGCCUUCCAGUGCUUGAGAAGGAAACUGAACAUUCUGAAGUGUGAACUGUGAUCACACUGAUAACCGGUCCGUUAAUCUACAGCUCCUUUUUUUUGUUGUCAUCUGGGGAGAAGACGUGGAAAACGCAUUCAGCUCUCCCUGGUGGCCUCUAAUAUGGUGUAAGGUGAAGCUAAGAGGGAUCUCGACAUCUCCACUGUGAAUGGAUGAGGAACUCAUUGAUCUCGGGGCUUCAAUGUAAUGGAGGGUAGUAGCAAGCUGCACUGCUACUCAGAAGGAGUUCACAAUUUGCAAUUGUUGGCCCCGAUAAAAAAUCCCUUCUUAGGGAACAGCAUGAAAUGCAAUGGCUGGUGAUCAACCUGAUGAGAACACUUGCAAUUUUUAAUACGGACAUACUUUGUUUUCUAGUACUCUGUUUUUUCAGAGAUGUUUAGUUCGUCUAUGUUUGUUACUGCCACUAUGCUUGUGCUUGUUUGUAAUCAAAGAAUUGGGAGUGCAUAUGUUUUUACUAGCCUAACCCGCGCGGCGGCACGCCGCGCUCGAUGAUCACUCACAAAUGAACAAUCUGUU
Long non-coding RNA from Triticum aestivum (bread wheat), 1685 nucleotides. RefSeq lists it as uncharacterized. The record is from RefSeq and is a predicted model, not a curated record. NCBI's taxonomy places the organism in Eukaryota, Viridiplantae, Streptophyta, Magnoliopsida, Poales, Poaceae. The transcript has 4 exons.